GUGUAUACAUAUAAGCUUCAGCACAUAUACUAAAAUAGGAAUGAUACAGGAUUAGCAUGGCCCCUGUGCAAAGAUGACAUGCAAAUUCAGGAAGCGUUCCAUAUAUAU
Molecule: small nuclear RNA, 108 nt
Organism: Vulpes vulpes (red fox)
Lineage: Eukaryota; Metazoa; Chordata; Mammalia; Carnivora; Canidae
Source: Ensembl